GUAAAAUUUUUUCUGAGGAUUGGUUUGUUUGUGCCCCUGCACACUGUAAGUUGACUUCCAUCCACUAUGUUGAGUUAUCUCGCUGCCACGUCUGUCCUCUGAUACAAGCUCACUCUCUCCUCCCAGAAGAGAAACUUGCCAUCCAUUGGCUGGGAUCAGGAACAGUAUGAUCUUUAACGUGCAGAGCUUUGUUAUAUUUUCCAUUUCUGCAUGUGCUAAAUAGAUGACAGAGCAUUUCCAGUUUUAGCCAACUUCCCAAAGUACUUGUGAUUGCAUUUCACAGUGCAACGAGGUUUCUGCUUCUCUGUUUUCCCACUAUCAUGCUGGUAUAGGUGCAUCUGCAUUCGCUAGCACUGUUGAGCCAGCUCCCAGGGCAUCACGUUCUUCUAUUCCCUGAGGCUUUGGAGAAGAUGGACUUAUCUCUGGAAAUGCAGAAGUCCGGCCAUGCUCUGCAAAAUGCUGAACCUUCCCAAUUUCACAGUAUUUAUCUAUUUACCCUUUUUGAGUUAACAGCACUUCCUAUUUGCACAUAACUUCAAAUUAAGAUCUCAACAAAGUCCAGCACCAAACACAACAGGUACUCCAUGGAAUAUAGAGGAAUCAAAAUGAUUUGCCCAAAGGGAGCAUGUGAAACCACACACAUGUCUCUGCACUGGACAACACCUAAAUAUUAACGAAUUAUCAAUCAUUACCAUUGCUUCAUUACCAUUUCCUUGGUUAUUUUAACAGUGUUCUAGAAAUAUAUUUCAAUUCUAAAAAAAUUCAUAUUUCAGAGCCAACAUGUUCUCAUUUGUGUAGAAAAUCAGACCAAAUGGAGAUGUAUCAGGACAGGGCUGUUUGGAAUAAGUGUUAAUGACAAGGCAGUUGCCAAAAUCAAUAUAUCCUCGACAUGCAUUAAUAAUGCAUUCAAGAAAAUAGGGUUUUCCUCUGUAGACAAUGGAAUUAUAUCAAAGACCUACCUGGCUUCAUUAUCAGUUUCUUUUCUGACCAAACAAAAAUCUGAAUUUUUUUCAAACAACAAGGAAAAGAACUGAGUCGCAAUUUUCUGUACAUCACUUACAGAUAGCCUCAGAUCAGUGUUCAGCUUAUUUAAUUAUAAUACAGUUGAGAUGUACCAGGGAAUUUGUAUCCGGUUUACAUGGUGAUUAAUGUUAUAAACUGGGGCAAAUAGAGGACCCACUUGUUUACUCUGAGGUUUUCAAGGUUAUCAAGAGAGAUGAGAAUAAACCACUGUGGCAUGAACAAGUGAAGUGAGAAGUUAAUCUAGCUGGCUUUUAUCUGUUUCUGUAUUGACUUACUGACAUAAUCAAGGGAUAAAUACUCUCUUUGUAGUGCAAAAAUAUUAAUAAUAAAGAUAAAAUUGUGAUUUUAGUGAGACCUGAGAAGAACCAAUAAAAAGGUUUAGAAUUACUAAAUUCUAAGCAUGAAAAAAAAAAAAAUAUCAGCAAUGAGAAAUAUGGGGGCAAGAAGCAUCUUUUCUGUUAGCUUACCAGGAAAUGCCUAAAGAGUUUUACCCCUGUAAAACUGUGAGCUCAUAUUGUGCUAUUUGUUCACUGUGCCCCCAGUUCUCUUUGUUGCUCUUAGGAUGUAAUACCCCACCUUGUACUUUCCUGUAUUAAAGUGCAUUUGUUUCAAUGGGUCUAGUUUGCUAAUCCAGCUAUUUUGUGUAGCUCCUCUUCCUCAUCCAUACUUAGUUUUCCCAGUUUCUUGGGAUCUUUGGUUUGUACCAAAAAAUGUUAAGUAAUGACUUAAUAUUUUCUUCCUGAACAGAGAUGAAAAGAAAAUGUGGAAUGAGAUCAAAUCAGGCACUGAUCUCUGCAGAAAAUAACUAGAGAAUUCGUGUGGUAAAGACUUCUUAUGGCCAAUGUAUUAGUAAUUGUGCCAGGGUAUCAGUUCUUAGUUUAAUGGGCAUGGGGUUUUUUGCUAGC
Long non-coding RNA from Taeniopygia guttata (zebra finch), 1928 nucleotides. RefSeq lists it as uncharacterized. The record is from RefSeq and is a predicted model, not a curated record. NCBI's taxonomy places the organism in Eukaryota, Metazoa, Chordata, Aves, Passeriformes, Estrildidae.